GAUGAACGCUGGCGGCGUGCCUAAUACAUGCAAGUCGAGCGGUAACACUUCGGGUGACGAGCGGCGGACGGCUGAGUAACGCGUAGGAACAUACCCCAAAGUGAGGGAUAAGCACCGGAAACGGUGUCUAAUACCGCAAGUGGUCUUCGGAUUAAAGCUUCGGCGCUUUGGGAAUGGCCUGCGUAUGAUUAGCUUGUUGGUGAGGUAAUGGCUCACCAAGGCGACGAUCAGUAGCUGGUCUGAGAGGAUGAUCAGCCAGACUGGGACUGGGAACGGCCCAGACUCCUACGGGAGGCAGCAGUAGGGAAUUUUCCACAAUGGACGAAAGUCUGAUGGAGCAACGCCGCGUGCAGGAUGAAUGCCUUCGGGUUGUAAACUGCUUUUCUCUGUGACGAUUAUGACGGUAGCAGAGGAAUAAGGAUCGGCUAACUCCGUGCCAGCCGCCGCAGUAA
Molecule: ribosomal RNA, 452 nt
Filed under: uncultured bacterium
Lineage: Bacteria
Description: partial 16S ribosomal RNA
Rfam family: Bacterial small subunit ribosomal RNA
Source: RNAcentral